This 548-nucleotide ribosomal RNA is filed under the name uncultured bacterium. Its description in RNAcentral is "partial 16S ribosomal RNA". It matches the Rfam family "Bacterial small subunit ribosomal RNA", at positions 355 to 895 of the family's 1533-position model. The record is from RNAcentral.
UGGGGAAUUUUGGACAAUGGGCGAAAGCCUGAUCCAGCAAUGCCGCGUGUGUGAAGAAGGCCUUCGGGUUGUAAAGCACUUUUGUCCGGAAAGAAAUCCUUGGCUCUAAUACAGUCGGGGGAUGACGGUACCGGAAGAAUAAGCACCGGCUAACUACGUGCCAGCAGCCGCGGUAAUACGUAGGGUGCAAGCGUUAAUCGGAAUUACUGGGCGUAAAGCGUGCGCAGGCGGUUUGCUAAGACCGAUGUGAAAUCCCCGGGCUCAACCUGGGAACUGCAUUGGUGACUGGCAGGCUAGAGUAUGGCAGAGGGGGGUAGAAUUCCACGUGUAGCAGUGAAAUGCGUAGAGAUGUGGAGGAAUACCGAUGGCGAAGGCAGCCCCCUGGGCCAAAUACUGACGCUCAUGCACGAAAGCGUGGGGAGCAAACAGGAUUAGAUACCCUGGUAGUCCACGCCCUAAACGAUGUCAACUGGUUGUUGGGGAUUCAUUUCCUUAGUAACGUAGCUAACGCGUGAAGUUGACCGCCUGGGGAGUACGGUCGCAAGAUU